AUUGAACGCUGGCGGAAUGCUUUACACAUGCAAGUCGAACGGCAGCACGGACUUCGGUCUGGUGGCGAGUGGCGAACGGGUGAGUAAUACAUCGGAACGUGCCCUGUCGUGGGGGAUAACGUAGCGAAAGCUACGCUAAUACCGCAUACGAUCUAAGGAUGAAAGCGGGGGAUCGCAAGACCUCGCGCGAUUGGAGCGGCCGAUGGCAGAUUAGGUAGUCGGUAGGGUAAAGGCCUACCAAGCCGACGAUCUGUAGCUGGUCUGAGAGGACGACGAGCCAAACUGGGACUGAGACACGGCACAGCAUCCUACGGGAGGCAGCAGUGGGGAAUUUUGGACAAGGGACGCAAGUCUGAUCCAGCCAUUCCGCGUGCAGGAUGAAGGCCCUCGGGUUGUAAACUGCUUUUGUACAGAACGAAAAGGCUCUGGUUAAUACCUGGAGCGCAUGACGGUACUGUAAGAAGAAGCACCGGCUAACUACGUGCCAGCAGCCGCCGUAA
RNAcentral lists this ribosomal RNA (500 nucleotides) under uncultured bacterium. RNAcentral's name for it is "partial 16S ribosomal RNA". It matches the Rfam family "Bacterial small subunit ribosomal RNA", at positions 30 to 523 of the family's 1533-position model. The record is from RNAcentral.